RNAcentral lists this long non-coding RNA (400 nucleotides) under Mytilus galloprovincialis (Mediterranean mussel). The record is from RNAcentral. Lineage: Eukaryota; Metazoa; Mollusca; Bivalvia; Mytilida; Mytilidae.
CAUUUCGAGAAAAUAUUCAUUAAAAGUAGUCAUUCAAACAAAAUAUCAAUUACUACUAGAUAAGUGUGAAUCUUGCAAAUAAAAAGCCGUAGAAGUUUACCGAUGUUCAAUUAUCAGUAUUUCAUUAAGAUGUUAUAAAUCGUUAUAGCAGUAUGGCAUAUAUCUCAUACCAUAUUAAGAACAACCUAUAUGGACAUUGUGGCGCAUCGUAUCACUGUGCUGUUAGGAUAUCUUUCGACUUUUCUAUUACGUAUAAUCUGAGAUAUUAUUUCUAUUUUGAAUUGGGAGAUUACUAGAUAAUGGUAUUCAGACAUUGGCAAAUAUAUAAAUGCCAAGGGCUCAAUGCAUGGAACUGUGACUUGAUAAUCUGCUUUUUCAGUUUAAAAUGUCACCUUAGCCA